This 257-nucleotide ribosomal RNA is filed under the name uncultured archaeon. Its description in RNAcentral is "partial 16S ribosomal RNA". It matches the Rfam family "Archaeal small subunit ribosomal RNA", at positions 720 to 982 of the family's 1478-position model. The record is from RNAcentral.
CACUGACAUUAGAUACCCGCGUAGUCCAGGGUGUAAACGCUGCAGACUUGGUGUUGGAAGCCUUUGGGGCAUUCAGUGCCGGAGAGAAGUUGUUAAGUCUGCUACUUGGGAGUACGUCCGCAAGGAUGAAACUUAAAGGAAUUGGCGGGGGAGCACCGCAACGGGAGGAGCGUGCGGUUUAAUUGGAUUCAACACCGUAAACACACCAGGGAAGACUGUUACAUGAAGGCCGAGAUGAAGACUCUGCUAGAUUUCAG